This is a long non-coding RNA of Mustela erminea (ermine), 2657 nucleotides long. RefSeq lists it as uncharacterized. Lineage: Eukaryota; Metazoa; Chordata; Mammalia; Carnivora; Mustelidae. The record is from RefSeq and is a predicted model, not a curated record. The transcript has 2 exons.
ACACAGUCCCCCAGUGCCUCUUCCUUAAGAGGAUUCAGGGCCAACUCCCAAGGCUGUUAUGGGGUCGUGUGAGAUGUGGGCGCUAGUGGGGCUGCCUCCGGUCAACAGCUCCGGUUCCUCCAGCAUCCACAAUGGGACAGGCUCUGCCCUCAGGGCUGGGGGCACACUGGGAGAUCGGCCCCAGUCCAGCCCACGGGGAGGCUGCUUCCCUCGGCAGGGAAGGGCAAUGAGAAGGCGCUGCCGGGUCACUGAGGACGGUGGCUAGGGGGCUGCGGGGAAGAGCAUGGGCUCCGCGGCACCAGACGCAGCACACAGGCUAUGGGAUUCCCAGCACGUCACUCAACCUCAGUGCUGUUCCAUUUUCUCAGCAGGGACCGAACAAUACUUACCGGAUCGCGUUGGUAAGACUAAACAAGGGAGUUCAAGUAACUCUACACAACGUUUGGCCCCGAGUAAAGUUACGCAUCCGCCUUAACAACGAUCAUCGUCACAAUAAGGACUGUGGGCAGCAUCGUGGUGGAACAGCACGGGUGGGACAGAGAGGCUCGGCAGAAAGACCGAAUCCAGUCUGACGGUGGGAGGAGGCGAGAGGGUCAGGGGCAGUUUCUCGGAAAGGACAUCUGCGUUUGGACCCAAAGAAGACCGUGUGUGCAGUUUUCCCUUUGAUUUGCUGUGUGGAUAGACAGCACGUUCCUUCCGUGGACUAUACAACCUCCUAUUGAUAUCGGAAUUACUGAGCUGAACCACGGUCACGACAGAGCCUUCGAGCACAGCGGAGUUAACAAGCUGCCCAGACAAGACAGGGAUUUUUAUCUACUUGAAGGCAUCUGUGAUUACUCCAGGGCUUUUCCAAUUCAAAGACUCAGUGGUAAAUUCUGAUUGCUAAACCGAAAGACAGAUCACUAAAUAACUCAGACAGCCUCUUCCCGUUUGCCAAGUGAGUGAAGCUUCCGCUUCCACAUCACACCGACUGCAGACUUACCGAGGUCGAUAAGGAUCGCGUGCUGUUGGGAGGUGAGCCGUUUUAAGAGUUCUUUGUAUGGCGUGUCCUUUGGCUGCUGUUUACUGGGAAACUGGUGUUGAAGGCGGUAUUGCUCUGCUAGAAACUUCCAGAUUUCCCCCCGGAGAUGACGUGGCACACCUAUGGGGAGGAGGGGUGGCAGAAAAUGUGUUUCAUGCUCAGAGAACAAACUAAUAAUGAGUUAAAUUUCAUCCCAUUGACCCGGCCUCUUGUUGCAUAUGGAUUGACAGCACUGAAAUGGAAAGGAAGCAACCGGAAGUCUGUCCUGUCUACUACUCCCCUUCUUCCCUCCGUCCUUCCCCGUCAGCCCCUAUUUCCCCGGCCUCUCACUUUCCUUUCAGCUCUCAAAUGCGUACUAUGUUCGGACAGAGCUAGACUCAGCAAGGCAUGAACUGGCGAAUGGCACGAGCCCCUAUCUGGUGCCGAUUAGUAACAGUCUAAGGAAAGACGUCGGGCGCAUGAAGUUACAGUGCACAGUGUCUCGUACAAAGGACGUGAGCUGAGUGAGGGGGUUUCGGAAGAAGGAGAGCAAGAGGUCAUGGAAUCCUUCAUCACUUGUGCCAAGAUGUCAGAGCGUGGGAGGGAAGAGAGAAGAUGAGUCGCAGGAAGAAACUAGAAAUGUUUCCGAGCCUCGGGCAAUGGCACGCACGUGUGGAGGAAGCAGGCGGCCGUCAGGCUGGAAGGGUUUUAUUAAGAGGUGAGAUUAAGGGUAAGCAACCUGCACCUUAUUUGGCAGCUCUUGGGAGCUACGGAAUGUUUCUGAGCUGGGGAGGGAGAGGCCUAAUUGGGGAAUACUGCUUAGACCCCGUGUGCCAGGUGGGUGGAGACAGGGAGGAGAGGCUGGACACCGUCCACAUAAAUGUGCCUCUGGGAACAUUCAACCGGGACCUGAAAACAAGAGAAGCUUUCCAAGAGCCGCUACUCCGUGUUUUAAAUACACUGAUUUGAAUACUCCAAGUGAUUCAAAGUGGCAUCUGAAGUGUCAUACGAAAAGUUCUCUUAAAGCCAAUGAUGUUAUUUAAGGCAAACUUCAGCAGCAAAAGUGAUGGCUUUGAUUCAAAACUUUUUGGUUGACCAUUCUACUGUUGUUACGAGGCCCAAACGCAGACAUGGGGAGAAAAGAGAGCCCACAGAGUAAGACACCAAAUCUUUCUCAUCUCCCACAAGAGCUCUCUUGAGAGAAAAGGAAGCUCUGAUUUCGGGACUGAGCUUUCCUUCCAUUCAGGAAAAACUGUGACUGCUUUGUCCACUUCCUGCUACUUAGGGUGCCUGCCCAGGAAGACCGCUUCCCUGGCUUUCCACUGGCCAUGCCUCAGAGAAGUCUCAGCAGCAGGUGACAUUCACUGUGAGGUCACCGGGCACUGCCAGCAUUCUAAGCACUCUGUCACCCCCACGACCUGCUGAGGGAAACAGGGCAAUGACCCUCAUAGUAAAGACAAGGAAACUGAGGCCAACAAGCACAGAACCCUCACCGGAGAUCAGCCAGUCGCUGGCUGGGAGCAGAGCCGAGAAAGGGACUGCUGUUUCCCUCUUCAUGUCUUCCCUGUCACAACAGUGAGACAAGCUGCUACUGGAAAAAUGUAUCUUGUGUUCCUGCCUGGCAGUUAGUAAUAAAAUCAUCGUGUGUGGCUCUGAA